UACGUAGGGUGCGAGCGUUAAUCGGAAUUACUGGGCGUAAAGCGUGCGCAGGCGGUUUUGUAAGCCAGAUGUGAAAUCCCCGGGCUCAACCUGGGAAUGGCAUUUGGGACUGCAAGGCUGGAGUUUGGCAGAGGAGACUGGAAUUCCCGGUGUAGCAGUGAAAUGCGUAGAUAUCGGGAGGAAUACCGAUGGCGAAGGCAGGUCUCUGGGCUAUAACCGACGCUCAUGCACGAAAGCGUGGGGAGCAAACAGG
RNAcentral lists this ribosomal RNA (253 nucleotides) under uncultured bacterium. RNAcentral's name for it is "partial 16S ribosomal RNA". It matches the Rfam family "Bacterial small subunit ribosomal RNA", at positions 524 to 776 of the family's 1533-position model. The record is from RNAcentral.